This 378-nucleotide ribosomal RNA is filed under the name uncultured eukaryote. Its description in RNAcentral is "partial 18S ribosomal RNA". It matches the Rfam family "Eukaryotic small subunit ribosomal RNA", at positions 592 to 975 of the family's 1831-position model. The record is from RNAcentral.
CAAUAGCGUAUAUUUAAGUUGUUGCAGUUAAAAAGCUCGUAGUUGGAUUUCGGAUGGGAUUUGCCGGUCCGUCGUUACGAUGUGCACUGGCCAGUCCUAUCUUGUUGUCGGGGACUAGCUCCUUGGAUUCACUUCCUGGGACUAGGAGCUGACGAGGUUACUUUGAGUAAAUUAGAGUGUUCAAAGCAAGCCUACGCUCUGAAUACAUUAGCAUGGAAUAACACGAUAGGACUCUGGCUUAUCUUGUUGGUCUGUGAGACCAGAGUAAUGAUUAAGAGGGACAGUCGGGGGCAUUCGUAUUUCAUUGUCAGAGGUGAAAUUCUUGGAUUUAUGAAAGACGAACUUCUGCGAAAGCAUCUGUCAAGGGUGUUUUCAUUA